GGUAAAAUGGCCAAGUAGAUAUUAGACUGUAAAUCUAAUCACAGAGGUUUAGCCCUCUUUUUACCA
Transfer RNA from Cavia porcellus (domestic guinea pig), 66 nucleotides. It matches the Rfam family "tRNA". Rfam says of the family: Transfer RNA (tRNA) molecules are approximately 80 nucleotides in length. Their secondary structure includes four short double-helical elements and three loops (D, anti-codon, and T loops). Further hydrogen bonds mediate the characteristic L-shaped molecular structure. tRNAs have two regions of fundamental functional importance: the anti-codon, which is responsible for specific mRNA codon recognition, and the 3' end, to which the tRNAs corresponding amino acid is attached (by aminoacyl-tRNA synthetases). tRNAs cope with the degeneracy of the genetic code in two manners: having more than one tRNA (with a specific anti-codon) for a particular amino acid; and 'wobble' base-pairing, i.e. permitting non-standard base-pairing at the 3rd anti-codon position. The record is from Rfam. NCBI's taxonomy places the organism in Eukaryota, Metazoa, Chordata, Mammalia, Rodentia, Caviidae.